RNAcentral lists this ribosomal RNA (1587 nucleotides) under Salmonella enterica. RNAcentral's name for it is "partial 23S ribosomal RNA". It matches the Rfam family "Bacterial large subunit ribosomal RNA", at positions 668 to 2236 of the family's 2925-position model. The record is from RNAcentral. Lineage: Bacteria; Pseudomonadati; Pseudomonadota; Gammaproteobacteria; Enterobacterales; Enterobacteriaceae.
GAGGGAAACCGAGUCUUAACCGGGCGUUAAGUUGCAGGGUAUAGACCCGAAACCCGGUGAUCUAGCCAUGGGCAGGUUGAAGGUUGGGUAACACUAACUGGAGGACCGAACCGACUAAUGUUGAAAAAUUAGCGGAUGACCUGUGGCUGGGGGUGAAAGGCCAAUCAAACCGGGAGAUAGCUGGUUCUCCCCGAAAGCUAUUUAGGUAGCGCCUCGUGAAUUCAUCUCCGGGGGUAGAGCACUGUUUCGGCUAGGGGGCCAUCCCGGCUUACCAACCCGAUGCAAACUGCGAAUACCGGAGAAUGUUAUCACGGGAGACACACGGCGGGUGCUAACGUCCGUCGUGAAGAGGGAAACAACCCAGACCGCCAGCUAAGGUCCCAAAGUCAUGGUUAAGUGGGAAACGAUGUGGGAAGGCCCAGACAGCCAGGAUGUUGGCUUAGAAGCAGCCAUCAUUUAAAGAAAGCGUAAUAGCUCACUGGUCGAGUCGGCCUGCGCGGAAGAUGUAACGGGGCUAAACCAUGCACCGAAGCUGCGGCAGCGACGCUGAUGCGUUGUUGGGUAGGGGAGCGUUCUGUAAGCCUGCGAAGGUGGCCUGUGAGGGUUGCUGGAGGUAUCAGAAGUGCGAAUGCUGACAUAAGUAACGAUAAAGCGGGUGAAAAGCCCGCUCGCCGGAAGACCAAGGGUUCCUGUCCAACGUUAAUCGGGGCAGGGUGAGUCGACCCCUAAGGCGAGGCCGAAAGGCGUAGUCGAUGGGAAACGGGUUAAUAUUCCCGUACUUGGUGUUACUGCGAAGGGGGGACGGAGAAGGCUAUGUUGGCCGGGCGACGGUUGUCCCGGUUUAAGCGUGUAGGUGUGUGUUCCAGGUAAAUCCGGUUCACUUUAACACUGAGGCGUGACGACGAGGCACUACGGUGCUGAAGCAACAAAUGCCCUGCUUCCAGGAAAAGCCUCUAAGCAUCAGGUAACAUCAAAUCGUACCCCAAACCGACACAGGUGGUCAGGUAGAGAAUACCAAGGCGCUUGAGAGAACUCGGGUGAAGGAACUAGGCAAAAUGGUGCCGUAACUUCGGGAGAAGGCACGCUGACAUGUAGGUGAAGUGAUUUACUCAUGGAGCUGAAGUCAGUCGAAGAUACCAGCUGGCUGCAACUGUUUAUUAAAAACACAGCACUGUGCAAACACGAAAGUGGACGUAUACGGUGUGACGCCUGCCCGGUGCCGGAAGGUUAAUUGAUGGGGUCAGCGCAAGCGAAGCUCCUGAUCGAAGCCCCGGUAAACGGCGGCCGUAACUAUAACGGUCCUAAGGUAGCGAAAUUCCUUGUCGGGUAAGUUCCGACCUGCACGAAUGGCGUAAUGAUGGCCAGGCUGUCUCCACCCGAGACUCAGUGAAAUUGAACUCGCUGUGAAGAUGCAGUGUACCCGCGGCAAGACGGAAAGACCCCGUGAACCUUUACUAUAGCUUGACACUGAACAUUGAGCCUUGAUGUGUAGGAUAGGUGGGAGGCUUUGAAGUGUGGACGCCAGUCUGCAUGGAGCCGGCCUUGAAAUACCACCCUUUAAUGUUUGAUGUUCUAACGUGGACCCGU